Non-coding RNA from Podarcis muralis (Common wall lizard), 195 nucleotides. The record is from RefSeq and is a predicted model, not a curated record. NCBI's taxonomy places the organism in Eukaryota, Metazoa, Chordata, Lepidosauria, Squamata, Lacertidae.
UGCAAAGGCUGCAUUGCUCUCUUCCGCGGGGAUCUGACGCUGCUUACUCCUUUGGGAAGGGCAAUCCUCUCCUGGGAUCUGUAUUUGCACAGGAUUUGGCACAGACAGAACUUGGCAGAAGACCAAAGGGUUCCUUCCAAUCUCUCAGAGGCUUCCUGAGAGCACAGAUGGAUGAGCGAGACUCAGCUGGCCUUG